AUGAUACGUGUGGCGAUAUUGUGUGUGUAUCAGGUCGUCGGCGGCGCUGUGGGCGCCUACUUCCUCUGGCCCACGGCGGUCGUCCCGGCCGCGGCUGGCGCCGUGAUGAAAGCGCCUGGAGCUGCCGGCUUCGUCAUCUCCCGCGCGGCGUUCCUGGCCAACCCGCAGCUCUACUUCAACAUCCUCCGCACGACCGGGGCUGCGGCGGCGGCCGCCGCCUUCGCUCUGUAGGGCGUCGCCGCGUACGUGCGCGUCUUUCAUUUGCGGUGCUUGCGCGCCCGCUAUAUAUGGAGCCGUAGCGGUUAA
RNAcentral lists this ribosomal RNA (306 nucleotides) under Triticum aestivum (bread wheat). RNAcentral describes it as "partial small subunit ribosomal RNA". The record is from RNAcentral. Lineage: Eukaryota; Viridiplantae; Streptophyta; Magnoliopsida; Poales; Poaceae.